AUAAUUUUAUUGGAAUUUUAGUUCGUGUAAAAACAAGUACAGUAGAGUGGCGUAAUCGAAGAUAAGUGAGUUGAUAUCUUUGAAGGAAAUACUUGGAAAUUAGUUGCAGCAAUGUCAGUUGAUCGGUUUGGUUUUAUGUUAUUUUUGAGGUUUUAAGAUUAAUUUCCAACGUCAAUAUCGAUUUUGAAAGAAUGUCGCAUGAAUGUUUAAACACGCUCUCAUGAUAAAACAAUUAGAUCAUCCCAUCCAGCAUUAUUAAUAAUUUGCUUACCGGAAAUUAGAACGCAUUGGCCUUUAUUCUCUUCAAUUAAUGACCGGAAAGCAUUAUCCGUUACUGCGUAACUGUUGGCGAAGAAAUAAAAAUAUAAAUGAUAAAAAUAUAGAUUAUUUAUAAACUCAUUUAUGAGACUCUGUUAUUAAUAUAUUAGCUUUAAUUACAACUAGUAUAAAAGACAUUAUGAGUGGUUGGAAAUAGUUAA
This is a long non-coding RNA of Bactrocera dorsalis (oriental fruit fly), 479 nucleotides long. RefSeq lists it as uncharacterized. The transcript has 2 exons. The record is from RefSeq and is a predicted model, not a curated record. NCBI's taxonomy places the organism in Eukaryota, Metazoa, Arthropoda, Insecta, Diptera, Tephritidae.